UACGAAGGGAGCUAGCGUUGUUCGGAAUUACUGGGCGUAAAGGGCGCGUAGGCGGCUUCACCAGUUGGGCGUGAAAUGCCUGGGCUUAACCCAGGAAUUGCGCUCAAUACUGCGAGGCUCGAGUGUGGGAGAGGAUAGUGGAAUUCCCAGUGUAGAGGUGAAAUUCGUAGAUAUUGGGAAGAACACCAGCGGCGAAGGCGGCUAUCUGGACCACAACUGACGCUGAGGCGCGAAAGCGUGGGGAGCAAACAGG
Molecule: ribosomal RNA, 253 nt
Filed under: uncultured bacterium
Lineage: Bacteria
Description: partial 16S ribosomal RNA
Rfam family: Bacterial small subunit ribosomal RNA
Source: RNAcentral